GCCUAGCCCCGAUUGAAGCUUUGUUUGAGCUCUUUUUUGUUUUUUUCAAACAAAAAAAGCGAGUGCGGAAAGCGGGAAAUUGC
Non-coding RNA from Tenacibaculum dicentrarchi, 83 nucleotides. Lineage: Bacteria; Pseudomonadati; Bacteroidota; Flavobacteriia; Flavobacteriales; Flavobacteriaceae. The record is from Rfam.